Molecule: ribosomal RNA, 440 nt
Filed under: uncultured bacterium
Lineage: Bacteria
Description: partial 16S ribosomal RNA
Rfam family: Bacterial small subunit ribosomal RNA
Source: RNAcentral
CCUACGGGUGGCUGCAGUGGGGAAUAUUGCACAAUGGGGGCAACCCUGACGCAGCGACGCCGCGUGAGUGAAGAAGUCUUUCGGUAUGUAAAGCUCUAUUAGCAGGGAAGAAAAUGACGGUAUCUGAUUAAGAAGCACCGGCUAACUACGUGCCAGCAGCCGCGGUAAUACGUAGGGGGCAAGCGUUAUCCGGAUUUACUGGGUGUAAAGGGAGCGUAGACGGCAGCACAAGUCUGAAGUGAAAUGCCGGGGCUUAACCCCGGAACUGCAUUGGAAACUGUUCAGCUAGAGUGCAGGAGAGGUAAGUGGAAUUCCUAGUGUAGCGGUGAAAUGCGUAGAUAUUAGGAGGAACACCAGUGGCGAAGGCGGCUGACUGGACUGUAACUGACGUUGAGGCGCGAAAGCGUGGGGAGCAAACAGGAUUAGAUACCCGUGUAGUC